AGCGAACGCUGGCGGCAGGCCUAACACAUGCAGGUCGAGCGCCCCGCAAGGGGAGCGGCAGACGGGAGAGUAACACGUGGGAACAUGCCCUUCAGUACGGAACAACCAAGGGAAACUUUGGCUAAUACCGUAUACGCCCGUAAGGGGAAAGACUUAUCGCUGAAGGAUUGGCCCGCGUCUGAUUAGCUAGUUGGUGGGGUGAUGGCCCAGCAAGGCGACGAUCAGUAGCUGGUCUGAGAGGAUGAUCAGCCUCACUGGGACUGAGACACGGCCCAGACUCCUACGGGAGGCAGCAGUGGGGAAUAUUGGACAAGGGGCGCAAGCCUGAUCCAGCCAUGCCGCGUGAGUGAUGAAGGCCUUAGGGUUGUAAAGCUCUUUCGUCAGGGAAGAUAAUGGCGGUACCUGAAGAAGAAGCCCCGGCUAACUUCGUGCCAGCAGCCGCGGUAA
Molecule: ribosomal RNA, 447 nt
Filed under: uncultured bacterium
Lineage: Bacteria
Description: partial 16S ribosomal RNA
Rfam family: Bacterial small subunit ribosomal RNA
Source: RNAcentral